Molecule: ribosomal RNA, 1302 nt
Filed under: Brachinus crepitans
Lineage: Eukaryota; Metazoa; Arthropoda; Insecta; Coleoptera; Carabidae
Description: 16S ribosomal RNA
Rfam family: Archaeal large subunit ribosomal RNA (bases 1067-1225)
Source: RNAcentral
AAAUUUAUAAUUUUUUUUAAUUUGAUUAAAAUUUAUUUAAAAUAAUAUUAUAUAUUUAAGGUUUAAGUAUAGUUUAUAGAAAAAAUUUAAUUAAUUAUAGUUAAUUUGUAUUGUAAAAGAAAAUUGAAAUAAGAAAUAAUUUAUUUAAAAGUAAAAUUAAUUUUUUGUACCUUGUGUAUCAGGGUUUAUUAAAUAAAAAUUAUUUAAAAAUAAUUUUCUCGAAUUUAAGAGAGCUAAUAAAUUAUUUUCUUUAUUGUAAAAAAAAUAUUUAUAAUAAUUUAUUGGUAAUGAAAUGUUAUUCGUUCUUAAAUAUAUCUAGUUUAUUUAGAAAUGAAUUUAAUUCAAAUAUAUUUAUUUUAUUAUAUUAAUUUUUUAAUAUAGUAAAUUUAUAUAUUAAUAAUUAAAGGGAUAAGCUUUUAAUUAAAAAUUUAUAAAUUAGUAUUAAAUAAUAAAAAAUGUAAGUUUAGAAAUAGCUAUCUUUAUUAAUUUGUUAUAAUUAAUUUAUUAAAUAUUAAUAUUUUAUAUAAUUUUAAAUUUUUUAUAAAUAAGUAAUUUUUAAUUAAUUAAAUUUAGUUAUAAUGAUAGAAUUAGUAUAUAAAAAUGUUUAUAUAAUUUAUAAUUAAAGAUUAUAUAAAGGAAUUCGGCAAAAAUUUUACUCGCCUGUUUAACAAAAACAUGUCUUUUUGAUUUUUAUUUAAAGUCUAGCCUGCCCACUGAAUUUUAUUUGAAUGGCCGCAGUAUUUUGACUGUGCAAAGGUAGCAUAAUCAUUAGUUUUUUAAUUAAAAGCUUGUAUGAAAGGUUGGACGAGGUAAAAUCUGUCUCUAUAUAAAUUAUAUUAGAAUUUAAUUUUUAAGUUAAAAAGCUUAAAUUUAAUUAAAAGACGAGAAGACCCUAUAGAACUUUAUAAUUAAUUUAAUUAAAUUAAUUUUGAUUUUUUUAGAUUUAAUUAUUUAAAUUAUUUUAUUGGGGUAAUAGAAAGAUUUAAUAAAUUCUUUUUUUUUAAAAACAUUUAUUUAUGAGUUAGAUGAUCCAAUAUUAUUGAUUAUAAGAUUAAGUUACCUUAGGGAUAACAGCGUAAUUUUUUUAGAGAGUUCAUAUCGAUAAAAGAGUUUGCGACCUCGAUGUUGGAUUAAAGAUUAGUUUAGGUGUAGAAGUUUAAAUUUUUGGUCUGUUCGACCAUUAAAUCUUUACAUGAUCUGAGUUCAGACCGGUGUAAGCCAGGUCGGUUUCUAUCUUUAAAAAAAUAAAAUAUUUUAGUACGAAAGGACCAAAUAUUUAAUAUAAUUAUAUUUAUAUUUUGA